AUUGAACGCUGGCGGAAUGCUUUACACAUGCAAGUCGAACGGCAGCACGGGGGCAACCCUGGUGGCGAGUGGCGAACGGGUGAGUAAUACAUCGGAACGUGCCCGGUCGUGGGGGAUAACGUAGCGAAAGUUACGCUAAUACCGCAUACGAUCUGAGGAUGAAAGCGGGGGACCUUCGGGCCUCGCGCGAUCGGAGCGGCCGAUGUCAGAUUAGGUAGUUGGUGGGGUAAAGGCCUACCAAGCCGACGAUCUGUAGCUGGUCUGAGAUGACGACCAGCCACACUGGGACUGAGACACGGCCCAGACUCCUACGGGAGGCAGCAGUGGGGAAUUUUGGACAAUGGGCGCAAGCCUGAUCCAGCCAUUCCGCGUGCAGGACGAAGGCCUUCGGGUUGUAAACUGCUUUUGUAUGGAACGAAAAGGCUCUGGCUAAUACCUGGGGCUCAUGACGGUACCGUAAGAAUAAGCACCGGCUAACUACGUG
Molecule: ribosomal RNA, 484 nt
Filed under: uncultured bacterium
Lineage: Bacteria
Description: partial 16S ribosomal RNA
Rfam family: Bacterial small subunit ribosomal RNA
Source: RNAcentral